Molecule: non-coding RNA, 2542 nt
Organism: Sus scrofa (pig)
Lineage: Eukaryota; Metazoa; Chordata; Mammalia; Artiodactyla; Suidae
Source: RefSeq, a predicted model, not a curated record
AGCGUUCCGAGCGGCCCCUCCCUCGCCCGCGGCGCGGAACCGUGACCAGGGCGAGGGCUGGGCCGGGACCUCGGGCGGUGACAGCGAUACAGUAAUAACUGGCAUGGAGCAGCGGGAGCAAGCCUAGUGCGGACGCCUCGCCGGAGGCUGUCCAGUUAUUCCAGGCUGUCCCCGGGUUCCUCCUGUCUGGCGGGCAGGGCUGGUUAAGAGCACCCCUGGCCGGCGAGCCCACGGGGACCAGAAGCUGGAGCCGAGCAGCCAUGGCCUAUCACAGCUUCCUGGUGGAGCCCAUCAGCUGCCACGCCUGGAACAAGGACCGCACCCAGAUUGCCAUCUGCCCCAACAACCACGAGGUGCACAUCUACGAGAAGAGUGGGAACAAGUGGGUCCAGGUGCACGAGCUCAAGGAGCACAAUGGGCAGGUGACAGGCAUUGACUGGGCCCCUGAGAGUAACCGCAUCGUGACUUGCGGCACAGACCGCAACGCCUACGUGUGGACGCUGAAGGGCCGCACGUGGAAGCCUACCCUUGUCAUCCUGCGCAUCAACCGUGCUGCUCGCUGUGUGCGCUGGGCCCCCCAGGAGAACAAGUUUGCUGUGGGCAGUGGCUCCCGUGUCAUCUCCAUCUGCUAUUUUGAGCAGGAAAAUGACUGGUGGGUGUGCAAGCACAUCAAGAAGCCCAUUCGCUCCACCGUCCUCAGCCUGGACUGGCACCCCAACAACGUGCUCCUGGCCGCCGGCUCCUGCGACUUCAAGUGCCGGAUCUUCUCAGCCUACAUCAAGGAGGUGGAGGAGCGGCCAGCACCCACCCCCUGGGGCUCCAAGAUGCCCUUCGGGGAGCUGAUGUUUGAGUCCAGCAGUAGCUGCGGCUGGGUGCAUGGCGUCUGCUUUUCAGCCAGUGGUAGCCGCGUGGCCUGGGUCAGUCAUGACAGCACCGUGUGCCUGGCUGAUGCCGACAAGAAGAUGGCCGUGGCGACUCUGGCCUCUGAAACGCUACCACUGCUGGCUCUGACCUUCAUCACGGAAAACAGUCUGGUGGCAGCGGUAAGGGGGGACGGGGCAGUCACCGGUGACCGCAGGUCUCCCAGAGAGCCUGGAGAUGCCCAGGCAGCUCUCUGCUUGUCCCCGCUUCUGCUUUCCGUCCUUCUUGUCUCCCUCCCAUCCAUCCAUCCAUCCAUCUUUAUUGGUCAGAAUAGGUUAAGAAAAUCUCCGGUUGCAGUGGCUCCACACGGUAAAUGUGUAUUUCUCGCUCAGUUUGAAUGUCCAGCGUGGGUGCUGGGUGGGGCCUCUGCUCACCGUAGAUGGAGGCUUUGUCUCCGGGGUGAGGCGGGGGAAGUGGAGACCUGGGCCCUGGGUCCUAACCUGUCUGUGUACAUCCUCUUGGCCCAUGCAAGUGACAAGGCCACACCUCACUCAGGAAUGGGUACCUGUAGCGGGAGGACAGUUCUACUGGAUAUUCUACUUGGCCCCCCAUCUAGCAAGCCUCUUUUCAGGCCUCAGCAAACCUACCCUCCCAGAGGGAGAUCAGGCCUGCUUUGCCUAGAGACACGUCCAGCUGUGGGGUCUCUCCCAGAGCAAAUGUAACCGUCCCAGCAGGACGUCCCAGGGGAGUCCCAGACAAGCGCUCUCAGCUAGAAGCUGGCCUUACUGGUGGAGGGGCUGCUCCUAGAUGCUCAGCCCCAACAUCUGGUCCCUCUUACUCUACCUAGGGUGGGUGGCUUUGUUUCUGAGUUGUCGUCCGCUUCCUGGUGCUGCAUCCAGGUUCUGAAUCUGGCCUCUGGGACCCCCAGAUUCAUGGCUGGAUUGCCCCCUACCCCCCGUCCCCCCACUGUGCCUCCCCUUGGGCCCAUCUCCCUUGGUGGAAAACGGGGCGCCGCGCCUGCCCUCGGCCGGCGCUCCAUGGGCACCCCGCCCCGCCACAGGGCCACGACUGCUUCCCGGUGCUGUUUACCUACGACGGCGCCGCGGGGACGCUGAGCUUCGGGGGGCGGCUGGACGUGCCCAAGCAAAGCUCGCAGCGCGGCCUGACGGCCCGCGAGCGCUUCCAGAACCUGGACAAGAAGGCGAGCUCGGAGGGCAGCGCGGCGGCGGGCGCGGGCCUGGACUCGCUGCAUAAGAACAGCGUCAGCCAGAUCUCUGUGCUCAGUGGAGGGAAGGCCAAGUGCUCGCAGUUCUGCACGACGGGCAUGGACGGUGGCAUGAGCAUCUGGGACGUGAAGAGCCUGGAGUCAGCCUUGAAGGACCUCAAGAUCAAAUGACCCGUGAGGCGUCUGCGCCCUCAUCCCAGCUGCUGGGGGAAGAGGGUCGGGAAGGCUAAGGAUCGCUGUGCUGAAUGUUUCUAGGGUACCAGUCCGGGUCCCCACAGAUGCUGCUCCCUGGGGGUGGGGGUGGGAGAGGCUUUUCUUACCUAUUGAAGGAACAGUUGCCUUUUUCUUAAGGAAAUGCUUUCAUUUAUUGUAAAAAAAAAAAAAAAAGUCCCCCAAGCACUCUGCUGGUCACGAACUGCUUCAAACAAGGUGGUAAUAAAAAUGCAGCUGUAGAGA